GAUGAACGCUGGCGGCGUGCCUAAUACAUGCAAGUCGAGCGAACAGACGAGGAGCUUGCUCCUCUGACGUUAGCGGCGGACGGGUGAGUAACACGUGGAUAACCUACCUAUAAGACUGGGAUAACUUCGGGAAACCGGAGCUAAUACCGGAUAAUAUAUUGAACCGCAUGGUUCAAUAGUGAAAGACGGUUUUGCUGUCACUUAUAGAUGGAUCCGCGCCGCAUUAGCUAGUUGGUAAGGUAACGGCUUACCAAGGCAAUGAUGCGUAGCCGACCUGAGAGGGUGAUCGGCCACACUGGAACUGAGACACGGUCCAGACUCCUACGAGAGGCAGCAGUAGGGAAUCUUCCGCAAUGGGCGAAAGCCUGACGGAGCAACGCCGCGUGAGUGAUGAAGGUCUUCGGAUCGUAAAACUCUGUUAUUAGGGAAGAACAAAUGUGUAAGUAACUAUGCACGCCUUGACGGUACCUAAUCAGAAAGCCACGGCUAACUACGUG
Molecule: ribosomal RNA, 497 nt
Filed under: uncultured bacterium
Lineage: Bacteria
Description: partial 16S ribosomal RNA
Rfam family: Bacterial small subunit ribosomal RNA
Source: RNAcentral